AAAAAAGGUAAGCUACUAAGAGCGAAUGGUGGAUGCCUUGACUGGUAAAGGCGAUGAAGGACGUACUAGACUGCGAUAAGCUACGGGGAGCUGUCAAGAAGCUUUGAUCCGUAGAUUUCCGAAUGGGGCAACCCAAUGUAUAGAGAUAUACAUUACCUAUAUAGGAGCGAACGAGGGGAAUUGAAACAUCUUAGUACCCUCAGGAAAAGAAAUCAAUAGAGAUUGCGUCAGUAGCGGCGAGCGAAAGCGCAAGAGGGCAAACCCAGUGCUUGCACUGGGGGUUGUAGGACUGCAAUGUGCAAGAGGUAAGUUUAGCAGAACAUUCUGGAAAGUAUAACCAUAGAGGGUGAUAGUCCCGUAUGCGAAAAACAAACCUUAGCUAGCAGUAUCCUGAGUAGGGCGGGACACGAGGAAUCCUGUCUGAAUCCGGGUCGACCACGAUCCAACCCUAAAUACUAAUACCAGAUCGAUAGUGCACAAGUACCGUGAGGGAAAGGUGAAAAGAACUGAGGUGAUCAGAGUGAAAUAGAACCUGAAACCAUUUGCUUACAAUCAUUCAGAGCCCUAUGUAGCAAUACAGGGUGAUGGACUGCCUUUUGCAUAAUGAGCCUGCGAGUUGUGGUGUCUGGCAAGGUUAAGCAAACGCGAAGCCGUAGCGAAAGCGAGUCUGAAUAGGGCGCUUAGUCAGAUGCUGCAGACCCGAAACGAAGUGAUCUAUCCAUGAGCAAGUUGAAGCUAGUGUAAGAACUAGUGGAGGACUGAACCCAUAGGCGUUGAAAAGCCCCGGGAUGACUUGUGGAUAGGGGUGAAAGGCCAAUCAAACUUCGUGAUAGCUGGUUCUCUCCGAAAUAUAUUUAGGUAUAGCGUUGUGUCGUAAUAUAAGGGGGUAGAGCACUGAAUGGGCUAGGGCAUACACCAAUGUACCAAACCCUAUCAAACUCCGAAUACCUUAUAUGUAAUCACAGCAGUCAGGCGGCGAGUGAUAAAAUCCGUCGUCAAGAGGGAAACAACCCAGACUACCAGCUAAGGUCCCUAAAUCUUACUUAAGUGGAAAACGAUGUGAAGUUACUUAAACAACCAGGAGGUUGGCUUAGAAGCAGCCAUCCUUUAAAGAAAGCGUAAUAGCUCACUGGUCUAGUGAUUUUGCGCGGAAAAUAUAACGGGGCUAAAGUAAGUACCGAAGCUGUAGACUUGCACACAACUUAGAUUAUUUAAGUUUAGAAUAUGAGAAACUAAGUUAUAUGUUUAGUUAUAUUUUUACUGAUUUUUAUAGAGUAAAGAUAGAAAUAAAACUUAGUAAAAUCAGUAAAAAUAUUCUUAGACUAAAGUUAAGUAGUUUAAGUUGUGUGCAAGUGGUAGGAGAGCGUUCUAUUUGCGUCGAAGGUAUACCGGUAAGGAGUGCUGGAGCGAAUAGAAGUGAGCAUGCAGGCAUGAGUAGCGAUAAUUAAUGUGAGAAUCAUUAACGCCGUAAACCCAAGGUUUCCUACGCGAUGCUCGUCAUCGUAGGGUUAGUCGGGUCCUAAGUCGAGUCCGAAAGGGGUAGACGAUGGCAAAUUGGUUAAUAUUCCAAUACCAACAUUAGUGUGCGAUGGAAGGACGCUUAGGGCUAAGGGGGCUAGCGGAUGGAAGUGCUAGUCUAAGGUCGUAGGAGGUUAUACAGGCAAAUCCGUAUAACAAUACUCCGAGAACUGAAAGGCUUUUUGAAGUCUUCGGAUGGAUAGAAGAACCCCUGAUGCCGUCGAGCCAAGAAAAGUUUCUAAGUUUAGCUAAUGUUGCCCGUACCGUAAACCGACACAGGUGGGUGGGAUGAGUAUUCUAAGGCGCGUGGAAGAACUCUCUUUAAGGAACUCUGCAAAAUAGCACCGUAUCUUCGGUAUAAGGUGUGGUUAGCUUUGUAUUAGGAUUUACUCCGAAAGCAAGGAAACUUACAACAAAGAGUCCCUCCCGACUGUUUACCAAAAACACAGCACUCUGCUAACUCGUAAGAGGAUGUAUAGGGUGUGACGCCUGCCCGGUGCUCGAAGGUUAAUUGAUGGGGUUAGCAUUAGCGAAGCUCUUGAUCGAAGCCCGAGUAAACGGCGGCCGUAACUAUAACGGUCCUAAGGUAGCGAAAUUCCUUGUCGGUUAAAUACCGACCUGCAUGAAUGGCGUAACGAGAUG
This 2160-nucleotide ribosomal RNA is filed under the name Campylobacter jejuni. RNAcentral describes it as "partial 23S ribosomal RNA". It matches the Rfam family "Bacterial large subunit ribosomal RNA", at positions 1 to 2011 of the family's 2925-position model. Lineage: Bacteria; Pseudomonadati; Campylobacterota; Epsilonproteobacteria; Campylobacterales; Campylobacteraceae. The record is from RNAcentral.